GUGGGGAAUCUUGCGCAAUGGGCGAAAGCCUGACGCAGCCAUGCCGCGUGAAUGAUGAAGGUCUUAGGAUUGUAAAAUUCUUUCACCGGGGACGAUAAUGACGGUACCCGGAGAAGAAGCUCCGGCUAACUUCGUGCCAGCAGCCGCGGUAAUACGAAGGGGGCUAGCGUUGCUCGGAAUUACUGGGCGUAAAGGGCGCGUAGGCGGACAGCUUAGUCAGAGGUGAAAGCCCAGGGCUCAACCUUGGAAUUGCCUUUGAUACUGGCUGUCUUGAGUUUGGGAGAGGUGAGUGGAACUCCGAGUGUAGAGGUGAAAUUCGUAGAUAUUCGGAAGACCACCAGUGGCGAAGGCGACUCACUGGCCCAAUACUGACGCUGAGGCGCGAAAGCGUGGGGAGCAAACAGGAUUAGAAACCCCAGUAGUCC
This 425-nucleotide ribosomal RNA is filed under the name uncultured bacterium. Its description in RNAcentral is "partial 16S ribosomal RNA". It matches the Rfam family "Bacterial small subunit ribosomal RNA", at positions 354 to 796 of the family's 1533-position model. The record is from RNAcentral.